Molecule: ribosomal RNA, 254 nt
Filed under: uncultured bacterium
Lineage: Bacteria
Description: partial 16S ribosomal RNA
Rfam family: Bacterial small subunit ribosomal RNA
Source: RNAcentral
CACGUAGGGGGCGAGCGUUGUCCGGAUUUAUUGGGCGUAAAGAGCUCGUAGGCGGCUCAGUAAGUCAGGUGUGAAAACUCCAGGCUCAACCUGGAGACGCCACCUGAUACUGCUGUGGCUAGAGUCCGGUAGGGGAGCAUGGAAUUCCUGGUGUAGCGGUGAAAUGCGCAGAUAUCAGGAGGAACACCGAUGGCGAAGGCAGCACUCUGGUACAUGACUGACGCUGAGACGCGAAAGCGUGGGUAGCAAACAGG